This is a long non-coding RNA of Raphanus sativus (radish), 1000 nucleotides long. RefSeq lists it as uncharacterized. NCBI's taxonomy places the organism in Eukaryota, Viridiplantae, Streptophyta, Magnoliopsida, Brassicales, Brassicaceae. The record is from RefSeq and is a predicted model, not a curated record. The transcript has 2 exons.
GACAAUCCUCCGUUCCUCUUCUAAGAGCAGCAUUAACGCUGUAUCUUAGAAGAACUCUUAGUGUAAUUGUGAUUUAAAGAAAAAGAAAAAAUGGAAUUACCACAAGAGGUGCCUCUUACUUAAGAGUUGGAAGAGCUGUGUCUUAGAGGACAGGUGUCGCUAUGAAAGAAAAAACAGAAGUCUUUCCUCUCUUCGUCUGUAUAUCUUCCUCGCCAUCUCUCUCCCUAUAGCCUAUAACGGACCUCUCCUUCCUCAGAUCAUAUGCUCCGGCGUUGUUUCUUACAACAAACUAAAGAAUAAAGAUCGUGGCUUUGAUGAAUCUGAAGCUAAUGAGUAUCGAGACCAGAAGAAAGACAAGGACUUUGAGAAUUUCGUGGGGUUGCAGCUUGGUGGUGACGGACGCGGAGUAGGUGGGUGGAUAUUGUGACGAAGUACCUCCAAGCGAAAUCAUUGUCUCUUAGCCCUUUUGGUAGAUUCACCUGCAAAACAAGACUCAGAUUGGGAAUUUCAAUGCCCCGAUCUACCUGCAAAACAAGACUCAUAUUGGGAAAAUAGAUGUAAUCAAUCUCAAUCUCAAUCUCAAUCUCAAAACUUUUACUUGCAAUGGCCUUGGGAUGAAGAAAUUUCUUUGGUGAAUCGCAGAACUUUUAAGUUAGGUGAUAUGUAUAGCCUUUGUACGUUGAGUUAGAGACAUCAGCCUUUGUAGCAGGGUUUGAGUAUUGAUCAUAGUCUGAGAGCAAGAGAAACCAUCAAUUUUUAGGUUCUCUGCUUCCACAAGUUUUCAUUUCUUUGUUUUUAGGUUCUAUGCUUCCAAAAAAUUUUCAUUUCCUUGUUUUCUUGUUCUUUGUUAUAUGGAAAGAUUAGAAACUUGUGUUGAAAUGUCAAUCGUCAAGUUCUAACCUAGUGCAGCAUCAACGUCCAUUAUAAAAUGUUGUAUUACCAGAAACUUGUAUAAAUGAUAUGGAUAAUGAAAAUGUAUUCACAAGAUCAAAUGUUUCUU